This 469-nucleotide ribosomal RNA is filed under the name uncultured bacterium. RNAcentral's name for it is "bacterial SSU rRNA". It matches the Rfam family "Bacterial small subunit ribosomal RNA", at positions 9 to 524 of the family's 1533-position model. The record is from RNAcentral.
GAGUUUGAUCGUGGCUCAGAAUGAACGCUGGCGGCAUGCCUAACACAUGCAAGUCGAACGAAGGCUUCGGCCUUAGUGGCGCACGGGUGCGUAACGCGUGGGAAUCUGCCCCUUGGUUCGGAAUAACAGUUGGAAACGACUGCUAAUACCGGAUGACGACGUAAGUCCAAAGAUUUAUCGCCGAGGGAUGAGCCCGCGUAGGAUUAGCUAGUUGGUGUGGUAAAGGCGCACCAAGGCGACGAUCCUUAGCUGGUCUGAGAGGAUGAUCAGCCACACUGGGACUGAGACACGGCCCAGACUCCUACGGGAGGCAGCAGUGGGGAAUAUUGGACAAUGGGCGAAAGCCUGAUCCAGCAAUGCCGCGUGAGUGAUGAAGGCCUUAGGGUUGUAAAGCUCUUUUACCCGGGAUGAUAAUGACAGUACCGGGAGAAUAAGCUCCGGCUAACUCCGUGCCAGCCGCCGCCGUAAG